This 469-nucleotide ribosomal RNA is filed under the name uncultured Gigaspora. RNAcentral's name for it is "eukaryotic LSU rRNA". It matches the Rfam family "Eukaryotic large subunit ribosomal RNA", at positions 163 to 644 of the family's 3401-position model. Lineage: Eukaryota; Fungi; Glomeromycota; Glomeromycetes; Diversisporales; Gigasporaceae. The record is from RNAcentral.
UUUGACGUUCUGGGUUGGACUAAAUCCUUUGGGAUAAGGUAUCAUAGAGGGUGAGAAUCCCGUGUAUACCAACCACAGGGAUGUUAUUUAAUAACGUUUCUAAGAGUCGAGUUGUUUGGGAAUGCAGCUCUAAAUGGGUGGUAAAUUUCACCUAAUGCUAAAUAUAAGCGAGAGACCGAUAGCGAACAAGUACAGUGAUGGAAAGAUGAAAAGAACUUUGAAAAGAGAGUUAAAUAGUACGUGAAAUUGUUGAAAGGGAAACGAUUGAAGUCAGUCAUGCCGACGGGAAUCAACUUAGAGGAAACUCUGGGUGCACUUCUUCGUUUGGCAGGUUAGUGUCGAUUUUGGAUGUCAUAAAAUAAUUGGGGGAAGGUAGCUCUUUCGGGAGUGUUAUAGCCCUUGGUAGAUGUGAUGUCUGGGAUCGAGGAUUGCAACGGAUACCCUUCGGGGCUAACCGCCUGAUCUCUAA